UUCUGUGGCUUAGUUGGUGAAAGCGCCGGUCUAGCGAAUACUGAGUCGUGGGUUCGAAUCCCACCAGAA
Aedes albopictus (Asian tiger mosquito) is the source of this 69-nucleotide non-coding RNA. NCBI's taxonomy places the organism in Eukaryota, Metazoa, Arthropoda, Insecta, Diptera, Culicidae. The record is from Rfam.